Molecule: long non-coding RNA, 317 nt
Organism: Zea mays
Lineage: Eukaryota; Viridiplantae; Streptophyta; Magnoliopsida; Poales; Poaceae
Exons: 3
Source: RefSeq, a predicted model, not a curated record
CGCCAUCAACGCGAUGCCUCACUUGUUUGGAGGUUGGCAUGUGGUGGACAGGCGACGAGCGUUCUUUGGUAGCCGCUCCGGUAGAAUAGCAAGCUAUCAGUGGUACUCUGUUUGUUUGGAUCAGAGGAAGCUCACGCAGAGGUCGGAGAGGGUGAAUUCCGUGGAUCUGCAUACGACAUAGCCAUGGGGAAACAAUGGAUGGAUAGAUCAUCAAGGUUCAGGUCUUCAGAUCUGAAGCUUGGUAUGAAACAUCUAGGUAUUCAUCAAUAAAGUUUGUCUGAGUUAAUCUACUGCGAGUUCCCAGAUUAUUGGCCGAC